RNAcentral lists this ribosomal RNA (320 nucleotides) under Staphylococcus epidermidis. Its description in RNAcentral is "bacterial SSU rRNA". It matches the Rfam family "Bacterial small subunit ribosomal RNA", at positions 1 to 309 of the family's 1533-position model. Lineage: Bacteria; Bacillati; Bacillota; Bacilli; Caryophanales; Staphylococcaceae. The record is from RNAcentral.
UUUUAUGGAGAGUUUGAUCCUGGCUCAGGAUGAACGCUGGCGGCGUGCCUAAUACAUGCAAGUCGAGCGAACAGACGAGGAGCUUGCUCCUCUGACGUUAGCGGCGGACGGGUGAGUAACACGUGGAUAACCUACCUAUAAGACUGGGAUAACUUCGGGAAACCGGAGCUAAUACCGGAUAAUAUAUUGAACCGCAUGGUUCAAUAGUGAAAGACGGUUUUGCUGUCACUUAUAGAUGGAUCCGCGCCGCAUUAGCUAGUUGGUAAGGUAACGGCUUACCAAGGCAACGAUGCGUAGCCGACCUGAGAGGGUGAUCGGCC